RNAcentral lists this unclassified non-coding RNA (379 nucleotides) under uncultured Actinomycetes bacterium. RNAcentral describes it as "uncultured actinobacterium contains 16S-23S intergenic spacer region". Lineage: Bacteria; Bacillati; Actinomycetota; Actinomycetes. The record is from RNAcentral.
UCCGAGUUGACCCCGGCAGUCUCCCAUGAGUCCCCGCCAUAACGCGCUGGCAACAUGGAACGAGGGUUGCGCUCGUUGCGGGACUUAACCCAACAUCUCACGACACGAGCUGACGACAGCCGUGCACCACCUGUGAUCGAGUCCCGAAGGAGGGCUGAACUUCUCCAGCUUUCCCGACCAUGUCAAGCCUUGGUAAGGUUCUUGGCGUCGCAUCCAAUUAAACCACAUGCUCCGCUGCUUGUGCGGGCCCCCGUCAAUUCCUUUGAGUUUUAGCCUUGCGGCCGUACUCCCCAGGCGGGGAACUUAAUGCGUUAGCUGCGACACAGAAUCCGUGGAAUGGACCCUACAUCUAGUUCCCAACGUUUACGGCAUGGACUAC